AAAGGUUUUUUAGAAACCACAACAUUAGAGACCUCACUAGACUUGAGAUUCUCCUCCAUUUGAAGAACAUGGUUCUUCACAUUGAUUGCAUGGCCCUCCUUUGAUGAUUUAAAAGUAACACCGUUAGCACCAUUAGUCUUCCCUUCCUUCAAGGAUGAAGACCCUCUAUUCUUUUUCGCCAUCAAGAGAAGGAUCAAGGGACAUGCAAUCCAACAAACCUACCAAAAACCCUUAAGAAAUCUAACGAAGAAGGUGAUCGGAAAGUGACUCCGGUGGCCUCCACCACCACCUCCCGACUGUUGGCAAUUGGAUCGUGCGAUUCAACGUGAUCGUUAGGAUAACAGGUAAACAAAAUCAGCGGAAGCGAAUAUAAAUCGUUUACCGUACUUCUGGGUUGGUGUAGAGGAUGAACUGCAGAGAACUACCUCUAAUCUUCUACUGUAUGUCCCAAGUGUGAUCCUUCUGUUGUGUGGGCAACAGUCUGCAGGAUCUCUCAAUCUGCUUCUUUUCCCUUCUCUCACCAAAAGAGGCGCAGGAAUAACCUUAGGGUUCCAGGAAGCUGAGUUCACUUAUAUACUGGGCUACAGCAGGGACCAGGAGGAGAAAUUGGACUGGGCCUCAAUUGAAUUUAAUUAACCAAGCUUAGCCCAAAGCUUUUAAUUAAAUCCAAUAAUAAUAAUAUAGUCCACUAAAAUAUUAUUACUGUUGGCUUUUCCACGCCUUCCACCAUUGAAACCCUUUCCACCCUUCAAGGGAGGCUGCAAACCUCGUUUGUGAAUAUCUUGAUCGCCUAACAACGGAAGAUGUUGUUCCUUAGUACCUACAUCCGUAGCAUCAACACCUUUAGAACCAACCACACCUCCCGUCGCAUCUCCUCCUCCUUUUAAUACCUCUCGCACCACCUCCAACGAAGAUGAAGUUGCAUGCAAGGUAUCAAUAGGACUCAUAUCAACCACGGUUGCCUCCUCUACACCCUCCAUCGGACAAGAUGUUUUCAAGGGUUUAUUUGAAGCAACAACAUUAGACAUCUCAUUAGACUUGAGAUUUUCUUCCAUUUGAAGAACAUGAUUCUUCACAUUGAUUGCAUGUCCUUCCUUUGAUGCUUUGAAUGCAACACCACUAGCACCAUUAGACUUCCCUCCCUUCAAGGAUGAAGAUUCUCUAUUCUUUUUAGCCAUCAAGGGAGAGAUCGAAUGACAUGCAAUACAACAAACUCACGAAAAACCCUCAAAAAUCGAAGUAGGAGAUGGCCGGAAAAUAGACUCCGGCGACCUCCACCACCAACCGCAACCACUCACCGACGAGAUACCGCCGGCUAGAAGACCAAAUCACAAAAGAAAAGCAAAAGAUUUUAGAGUGAGAAACUAAAAUCUCCAGAGCAUCUCUCUCUUCACUUUCCUUGAGUAACUAUGACUCUCUUAAGGUAGCCAAAUGCCUCGUCAUCUAAUUAGUGACACGCAUGAAUGGAUUAACGAGAUUCCCUUGUCUACUAUCCAGCGUAAUCAUAGCCAAGGGAACGGGCUUGGCGAAAUCAGCGGGGAAAGAAGACCCUGUUGAGCUUGACUCUAGUCUGACUUUGUGAAAUGACUUGAGAGGUGUAGGAUAAGUGGGAGCCAAAAGGCAAAAGUGAAAUACCACUACUAUUAAUGUUAUUUUACUUAUUCCAUGAAUUGGAGGCGGGGCAUCGCCCUUCUUUUUGGACCCAAAGCUCGCCCCGGCGGGCCGAUCCAGGCGGAAGACAUUGUCAGGUGGGGAGUUUGGGUGGGGUGGCACAUCUGUUAAAAGAUAACGCAGGUGUCCUAAGAUGAGCUAAAGGUGAAUAGAAAUCUCAUGCGGAACAGAAGGGUAAAAGCUCAUUUGAUUCUGAUUUCCAGUAUGAAUACAAACCGUGAAAUAGUGGCCUAACGAUCCUUUAGACAUUCAGAAUUUGAAGCUAGAGGUGUCAAAAAAGUUACCACAGGGAUAAGUGGCUUGUGGCAGCCAAGCGUUCAUAGCGACGUUGCUUUUUGCUCCUUCGAUGUCGGCUCUUCCUAUCAUUGUGAAGCAUAAUUCACCAAGUGUUGGAUUGUUCACCCACCAAUAGGGAACAUGAGCUAGGUUUAGACCGUCGUGAGACAGGUUAGUUUUACCCUACUGAUGAUGGUGUCGCAAUAGUAAUUCAACCUAGUACGAGAGAAACCAAUGAUUCACACAAUUGGUCAUCGCGCUUGGAUGAAAAGCGAGUGGCGCGAAGCUACCGUACGCUAGAUUAUGACUAAACGCCUCUAAGUCAGAAUCCGAGCUAGACACGAUGCAUGCGCCCACCGUCCGCUCCCCGACCCGUAGUAGGGGCCCCCGGGCCCCCAAGGGCAUGUGUCGUUGGCCAAGCCCCGCGACGGACGAGCCGCGUGGACCAUCUCAAAGUAUAAUUCCAAUCGAGCGCCAGGUAGAAUCCUUUACUGAUGACUUAAAUACGUGACCGGGUAUUGUAAGCGGUAGAGUGGACUUGCUUCCAUGAUCCGCUGAGAUUCAACC
This 2514-nucleotide ribosomal RNA is filed under the name Pogostemon cablin (patchouli). RNAcentral's name for it is "eukaryotic LSU rRNA". The stretch from base 1233 to 2514 matches the Rfam family "Eukaryotic large subunit ribosomal RNA", at positions 1889 to 3383 of the family's 3401-position model. The record is from RNAcentral. Lineage: Eukaryota; Viridiplantae; Streptophyta; Magnoliopsida; Lamiales; Lamiaceae.